UCCUGUAUAGCCCACAGUUUCCACCAUGUGAGUCUUUCAGUCAAGAGAGGAAAGAAAAACAUUUCACCACUAGGAAAAAUGUGAUUGCGAAAAUGCAAACAUUGACAGGGAGGAGCUACAGUUCUGGGAAAGAACUUUAAACUCUCUUUUAAAAACUGACUAGAUUUCAAGUUAACUACAUCCAUUUAACCGCCACCCCACCCCUCAACUGUGGUUUCAGCUGGACAUUAUUCAUACAAUGACAGAAAUGUAGGGCUGGAAGGGCCUUGAGAGGUCAUCUAGUCCAGCCCUUUGUGAUGAGGCACGACCAAGUAAUCUAUACCGUUCCUGUCAGGUGUUUGUCCAACCUCCAGUGAUGGGAUUCCACAACCUCUCUUGGAAGUCUAGUCCAGAACUUUACUAUCCUUAUAGUCAGAAAGCUUCCUUUCCUGGAUCUUUAAAAACACCAUUAUGCUGGCAGCUCCUGAGGCGGUUACCAACAGGACGACAAUCAGAACGGUCACUGGCGUACCUGUUAAAAGACAUGAUACAGAUCAUCCCCAGCUAUAUGGAGGCAGAAAAAAAUCUGGAUGGCACAACCAAACAGGGCUCAGGGACUUCACCCGCCGGAUCGCGUAUAGUGUAGAUGUGAUAAAUCGAUCCCCGAUCGCUCUCCCAUCGACUGCUGAACUCCAGCUCGGCGAGAGGAGGAAGCAAAGUUGAUCCCGCGCCACGAGGAUGCAAAGUUCCAGACUGACAAAAACAAGUGCUAAUAAACCAUCUUGGAGCAAUACUCGCCAGGUUGCCACUGACCUGCUGCAAAACGAAGAACACAAAUUUCCCAUUCACCAGCCCUAGAUGUUUGGCUUCCAGCAUGAUAGACCUAACAUCCGAAGAGCUGCAGAUUAAAACAAUAACUGCAAGAGAAAAAGGUGCGGUUAGUCAUUUGAUCCCCAUCCAUCCACCACAUUAAAAAAAAUGGACAAGACAAUCAGAGCUGCCAAUCAACACUAGGACGAUUUUUAAAAAGCUGAGUUAAAUUACAUGGCUCAUGGUUACACAUUGAACAUAUUUAUUGCUUUAGCCAGCAUGGACUGAUGUCAGUCGAAAGCUCUUUGUCAUGGACUUGUUUAAAUGAAACAUGCAUGGCUCACUGGGGCUUUCAGUGGUCGCUAGAAAGUAAGGAACGAGGAUCCUACACACUUUACCCACUACUUACUCAUGUGAGUAGUCCCAUUGAAGUCAAUGUGAUUUGUCAUGGGAGAAAGGGUGACUGUUAUGAAUAAGGGUUACCAGGGUCGCAGGCUUCUCUCUGCUACACAGUAGAGAGGUAGAAAAAUCUGUAUUAAUUUACUCAAGAAACAAAAUAGCAAAUCCACUGUGUAGCCCAAAACACACUGAGCAACCAAAGACAGCCAUGAAACAUCUGCAGACGCAAGUGGCAAUUUGAGAUGCUCAAUACAUUUCCUCACAGAAAGUGUUUUUUGGUUGUUUUGGUUGUUUGUUUUGUUUUGUUUUUAUUUUUUGUUCUUUGUCAAGGAGGGUUUCAAUACAAAAUAAAAAAAUU
Molecule: long non-coding RNA, 1546 nt
Organism: Trachemys scripta elegans
Lineage: Eukaryota; Metazoa; Chordata; Testudines; Emydidae
Exons: 4
Source: RefSeq, a predicted model, not a curated record